UACGUAGGGUGCGAGCGUUAAUCGGAAUACUGGGCGUAAAGCGUGCGCAGGCGGUUGUGCAAGACAGAUGUGAAAUCCCCGGGCUCAACCUGGGAAUUGCAUUUGUGACUGCACGGCUAGAGUGUGUCAGAGGGGGGUAGAAUUCCACGUGUAGCAGUGAAAUGCGUAGAGAUGUGGAGGAACACCGAUGGCGAAGGCAGCCCCCCUGGGUCAAGAUUGACGCUCAUGCACGAAAGCGUGGGGAGCAAACAGG
This 253-nucleotide ribosomal RNA is filed under the name uncultured bacterium. Its description in RNAcentral is "partial 16S ribosomal RNA". It matches the Rfam family "Bacterial small subunit ribosomal RNA", at positions 524 to 776 of the family's 1533-position model. The record is from RNAcentral.